This 290-nucleotide ribosomal RNA is filed under the name uncultured bacterium. Its description in RNAcentral is "partial 16S ribosomal RNA". It matches the Rfam family "Bacterial small subunit ribosomal RNA", at positions 392 to 697 of the family's 1533-position model. The record is from RNAcentral.
CAACGCCGCGUGAGGGAUGAAGGCCUCUGGGCUGUAAACCUCUUUUAUCAAGGAAGAAGAUCUGACGGUACUUGAUGAAUAAGCCACGGCUAAUUCCGUGCCAGCAGCCGCGGUAAUACGGGAGUGGCAAGCGUUAUCCGGAAUUAUUGGGCGUAAAGCGUCCGCAGGCGGUCUUGAAAGUCUGUUGUUAAAGCGUGGAGCUCAACUCCAUUUCAGCAAUGGAAACUAGAAGACUAGAGUGUGGUAGGGGCAGAGGGAAUUCCCGGUGUAGCGGUGAAAUGCGUAGAUAU